AUGAUGUUUAUGCUCAGGGAGAAGUUCAAGACCCAUGAAUGGAUAUUGUUAAGCUUGUACAUCUCCGACCCAGAUGUUGAUGAUAUUGAGACUGAGCAGAGCAUGGUGGUUUACGAAAUCAACCUGGGCAGGCGUUCUGAACUAUAUGUUGUCAACUUCAUGCUGCCUGUCCUGUUCUUCUUGGGUCUGGACUUGGCCUCCUUCCUGAUCUCAGACAAAGGGAGCGAAAAGCUCAGCUUCAAGGUCACUGUGCUGCUUUCUGUCACUGUGAUGCAGCUUAUUCUGAGUGAAAUACUUCCUUCUACUUCAAACAGGAUUCCACUUAUAGCAACCUACAUCAUGGGGAUUUUUGGAUUGAUGAUGCUCAGCCUCCUGGAGACGAUUUUGGUGAAGUAUCUGUUGGAGAAAGACUCGAAAGAAAAUGAGCCGAACAGAGGCCAAAGCCUGAGUGAGGACUGUGAGGACAAACGAGGCAAAGUCAGCCUUAACAACUGCUGUAGAGGCAUUCACUCUGCCUGUGUCUGUGAUGUGUCUGCCAGUGAAACACCACCGGAACUGCUGCCAGUGGGCCAAGAGGUCAGCUGCAGCCAACUGACGGAGGAGUCUCAUGACUCUGAAAAGCUGUCAGAGGAGCUGAGAGAGGUGGUGAAAACGCUGUCUCUGCUGCUCAACUGCAGGAAGGAAGAAACGAAGCCUGGCUACUGGACCAUAGUGUCGAACAAAAUCAACAAAGUUUUCUUUAUUUUCUAUGUCAUAGCUGUCACUCUGUUUUUAAUCUAUAUGCUUGUCUGUUGGAAUGCAGAAUAG
Molecule: long non-coding RNA, 807 nt
Filed under: Sparus aurata (gilthead seabream)
Lineage: Eukaryota; Metazoa; Chordata; Actinopteri; Spariformes; Sparidae
Description: lncRNA (ENSSAUG00010019756.1)
Source: RNAcentral